RNAcentral lists this unclassified non-coding RNA (2101 nucleotides) under Pectinophora gossypiella (pink bollworm). RNAcentral describes it as "pX domain-containing protein kinase-like protein". Lineage: Eukaryota; Metazoa; Arthropoda; Insecta; Lepidoptera; Gelechiidae. The record is from RNAcentral.
AAUGCGUUUUAUGCACUCUGUGGUCAAACGUCAAAUAGCGUAGUCAUCGGUAUUUCUUGAGGGUUUUUUCUAUUUUUCCCAGUGAUAACAAAAUGCUUAGUGCUUAUAGUCUCUAUGUUUGUAACCAAUAGAACUCCUCGUAAUUAACGGCGAUGGCUAUAUUUGAGAAAACAUCGCAAACAACUCUCGUUUUGGAUGAUACAGAAAAACUUAUUUGUACAGUGGUUAAUGCACAAAACAUCAAUAAACACACAGAAUACAUAUUGCGAGUGCAGAGAGGGCCUAAUAAGGAGAACAAGUGGAAUGUAUCGAGGCGGUACCGGGACUUCGCCGCGCUGCACUCGAGCCUGCAUCAGGCGAACAUCGAGCUGCCACUGCCCCCUAAGAAACUCAUUGGGAACAUGCAACCAUCUUUUAUUGCUGAAAGGCAAAUAGCUCUACAGAAUUAUAUCAAUGAGGUACUAAACCAUCAGGCGCUUGCUCUGUCAUUACAAGUCAGAAGCUUUCUGGAUCCCAUCAACUAUUCGCUUAGUAUAGCAGAACAAGCUCUGCAGACUGUGUCUAUUGCACUGAGAGGUGAAGGGAGGUUUGAACUGAAAGGACCCCUCGCAGACAUUGGUUGGAGAAUACGAAAACAUUACUUUCUGGUAACUGACAUCCAAAGUCGAAUAAACUGUAUGUUGUCAUAUCAGAACUAUGGACCUGACAGACAUUUAAGUGAUAAAGAUUUACAGACUGCAUUCAAGAGUAUACAUAAUUUAUCUCAUCCAUACAUAGACCAAAUAUUAGCAAUACACAGUUUAGAAACAGGCGCUUACGUAGUGAGAAGGAUACAUGAGAAUGGAACAAUCAGGGACAUGUUAUAUGGGACGGAAUAUACCAAAAACCACCUAGCCAAGUACGGGAACCCUAAAGUGAGGAAACCAUUCACAACGGGGCAAUUAGCUCAUUAUGGAUACCAGAUUCUGGAAGCUUUGAAGUUUCUGCAUGACAAAGGAAUACCACAUGGUCACAUUCACCCGGGUAACGUAGCAAUAGAAGGCCAGAAGGUACAGUUGCUGGAUGUGGAGAACUUCCUGAUGGGAGUGCCGUCGGUGUACCGGCAGCACCUCCUCGAGCUGCGGAAGACCACGGCGGCAGAGGCCGUGGACGUGUACUGCUUCGGACGGACGAUCUAUGAGAUGACCUUCGGCGCUCCCCUCGACCAUAUCAGUCGGGAUAUCUACCCUGAAGGACUUAAUGAGGGAUUAGAAGCAAUUCUCCGACUGUGUCUAUCAUCGUCGGCGUGUAAGCACGGCGUGGCGUCGUUAGACUCGCUACUCUACCACCCGUUCUUCACGAGGAGUGUGCUCAGUAUCGGAGGCACAAUGAGAGAGGACCACUUCACGCACCUUAAGUUCCCUCUCAACUGGAAGGAGGAACUCCGCGCCGCGGUCACGGCUUACGAGACACGGUUGAAGAACGAACAGAAACUGGUGCGAAGUACAAAGAGGGAGGUGCGUAUACAGGAAAUACUCAGCUCUGAAGAGGAGUUACGGAAGCAGAAACGAAGAGCGAAAAAGCGGGAGAGCGUGUGGAAGUCGACCUCGUCCCUGGGCGACGCAGCGCCGUCACACAGCGCCAGCACUGCGUCCUCGCCCACGCCGCCUGUUGCUCUGACAUGUAUUUCGGCAGCGGAAACCAACGGCAACGGGUCGGCAACCCCGGCGGCGGCGAGCCCCGACGCGCGGUCGGCGCUGCUGGGCGCCAUCUGCUCCUUCGACAAGACCCGCCUCGCGCGCACCGACUCCCGGUACAACGAACACCUCUAGCUAAUACCAUCCACUAGUUGCAUAUGUAGCGCGCGACGCGAUAGAUGUCUCAAUAGAAUGUGUUUAUUUAUAGCUUAACAUAACAUAAACAGCCUUUAUACGUCCCACUGCUGGGCACAGGCCUCCCCUCAAUCAACCGGAGGGGGUAUGGAGCAUACUCCACCAAGCUGCUCCAAUGCGGGUUGGUGGAGGUGUUUUUACGGCUAAUAGCCGGGGCCAACGGCUUAACGUGCCCUCCGAAGCACGGAAUCAUCUUACUUUUUCGGACAAUCAGGUGAUUCAAGCCUGAA